GUAUGAUCCUGCCUGGUGGCGGGUGCAGGCUUCAAACCUGU
Molecule: transfer RNA, 41 nt
Filed under: Grammatophora oceanica
Lineage: Eukaryota; Bacillariophyta; Fragilariophyceae; Rhabdonematales; Grammatophoraceae
Description: partial Selenocysteine transfer RNA
Source: RNAcentral